This 118-nucleotide ribosomal RNA is filed under the name Arenibacter echinorum. The record is from RNAcentral. Lineage: Bacteria; Pseudomonadati; Bacteroidota; Flavobacteriia; Flavobacteriales; Flavobacteriaceae.
UUAGGUGGCCAUGGCGACGGGGCCCACCCCUUACCAUUCCGAACAGGGAAGUUAAGCCCGUCUGCGCCGAUGGUACUGCUACACCAAGUGGGAGAGUAGGCCGCCGCCUUUUUUUGAA